UGAGGGAUCCCUCGUGUCGCCAAUCAUACUCGCGGACGAGGAAAGAAGGGGUGGGACCGAAGAGUGGAGAGGAGAAGUUGAGUGGGGUUGUGCGGCACGCGGCGCUAGACGGAGAGGGGGCGGGGAGGGCCUACCAACCGCCUCCUGGAUCCGUGCCUCCCGGGGCUCGUGGGGGUGACAGCCGAGCUUGGGGCCCCGCCCGAGAGGCCCAAAUCCGCCUCUGCCCAGGUCUCGCACCUCUGUCAGAACAACUAUUUUUUUUCCCUCUUCUUUUUUCUUUUACGUUUCAUUACUUUCUCUUCCUGUUCGCUCGGCCCCUUCCUGGCUCACUGAUCUCUGACGACUUAAUUUCAGGGAUGUUCAGAGGAGGGAAGCUACAGGCGGAGAUUCCUGACUACAUGUGAUCCUGGACAAGUCCUGGACCUGUAAUUGGUAGAGAGAAGCCCCCAGGAGAGAUUCCUGGUCUUUGUGUUUCAAUAUACUUCAAAUGAGGAGCUAAUAUUAUGGGAGAAAAGCUUCAUAAUAGUAUGAAGAUACUGGAGAUAAAAAAGAG
Molecule: long non-coding RNA, 553 nt
Organism: Dromiciops gliroides (monito del monte)
Lineage: Eukaryota; Metazoa; Chordata; Mammalia; Microbiotheria; Microbiotheriidae
Exons: 3
Source: RefSeq, a predicted model, not a curated record